GAAGUGUGCUCAGAUCAAAGGAAGAGGAAUGGCUCCUCUUCUUACAAACCAUGUAACAGCAAUCUGGGGUCACUGUGAUGAAGGGUACAACAAUGAUGGCUUCUAUAUGUGCAAAUGCCCCAUAGGU
Molecule: small nucleolar RNA, 127 nt
Organism: Dipodomys ordii (Ord's kangaroo rat)
Lineage: Eukaryota; Metazoa; Chordata; Mammalia; Rodentia; Heteromyidae
Source: Ensembl